AACGAACGCUGGCGGCAGGCCUAACACAUGCAAGUCGAACGCCCCGCAAGGGGAGUGGCAGACGGGUGAGUAACGCGUGGGAACGUACCCUUCGGUUCGGAAUAACCCGGGGAAACUCGGGCUAAUACCGGAUACGUCCGCAAGGAGAAAGAUUUAUCGCCGAAGGAUCGGCCCGCGUCGGAUUAGCUAGUUGGUGGGGUAAU
Molecule: ribosomal RNA, 203 nt
Filed under: uncultured bacterium
Lineage: Bacteria
Description: partial 16S ribosomal RNA
Rfam family: Bacterial small subunit ribosomal RNA
Source: RNAcentral